Non-coding RNA from Taeniopygia guttata (zebra finch), 864 nucleotides. The record is from RefSeq and is a predicted model, not a curated record. NCBI's taxonomy places the organism in Eukaryota, Metazoa, Chordata, Aves, Passeriformes, Estrildidae.
UCUACCUACCCUAUUGGUUCAUUUAUGCUGAGUCACUUCCCUGACCCCUCCCUGGGGCCUGUCCAUUAUUCUGAGGCCCCUCCCUUUCACCUAGAAAGUUCUACCCAGGGCCUCGGGUGAUAGGCUGGUUCCCGGGGUCCCCUCCCUCCCUCUCACCCCAUUGGAUGUUUCCACUGCUUGUCACCUCGGUUUCCACCCGCAGUUGUCAUCCCGUUGGUUGACUGUUGUUCCCGCCCCUUGUUCCUCCCCCAUAUAAAAGGCCAUGCACACACUGCUCAGGGCUUUUUGGGGUUUAUCUCCCUUCAGGCUAUAAUUGUCUCCUAAGACUGCUAAUAAACUCAGACUGUCGAUGCCCCCAAAAGGACCACUCCUUUGCUUUUGUCAAUGCUGCUCCAUGUCUCUCCAAGUCUGGUGGCUUUGGGCCUGCAGUGGCAUGUGAAUGUGGCCCUUGCUGCCCGCAGUGCCAAGGACACCGGGCUAGCUGACAUUUGGGGAGGCACUGCGACAGCUUGGUAUGCAAGUCCUGGGUCUUAGCUAAUGUGCAGACUUCCAGUAGCUAAUUUACCUCAGCAUUUUUUGAGGACCAAGAGAGAACUGGAUCAUCACUCCUGUUAAAUGGAGACUCCUUCUGACUGAUAGAAAUGCACUUUUUUGAAGCCACACUCAGGUUUGGAAUAUUGAUUCUCUUGGACUACAGAACUUUAAUCUCAAGAGACAUCUGUAUAAACUAAUUUAGUAUCAGAGUCAAAGGGUUUAUUUACAUGGAGAAUUGAUCAGCAUUGCUAGAGCAGAAAUGGCUUUACUUCAGUGUUACUCCCUCAUGUGAAUGUUGUGCUCUGGAAUAAAAUGGACUUUGUUUUGAAA